CCCUCCUCUCCCUCCCCUUGCAGAUCCGGCUACACGCCGCCCCUCCUCUCCCUCCCCUUGCAGAUUCGGCGAAGAGGAGGCAUGGGGGCCCGACGGAUCUGGCAGAGCGGCGAGAGGCGGCGUGCGGCGGCGGGAGGGAGGCGGCAUGCGCCCCUCGGCGGUGAGAGGUGGUUGGACAAAGGCGGCCUGCGCCCCUUGGCGGCGGGAGGUAGUGGGAUAGAGGCGGCCCUUGGUUCCCCUUUCCACUUGGUUUCUUUUUUGUCACUGCAUUAUUUUUCUUUUUUUUAAGUAGGGGCAAUUGUGUUCAUAUAGUUUAAUUAUUAUUUUACACCUGUUUUUUAGGGUUUGUGAUUUUGCCCCUGCUUUUUUUAAAUGAAGCAGCCGUCUACCUCUGGUUUUGACGGUAGUUUAGUGGGUUCGAAAUUUCCGAAUUAAACGAAUAAAAAAAUGAUAUUAUAAUUUGUGAAUGACAUCCUACCCUUGUUUCACUAAAACAGUCAACCACUUGCUGGAAGUGUAAUUUCCCCAAUCCAAAACCCUAGAGCGGCGGCGGCGACGCGCGAGCACAGAGAAGGGGAGGAGCGGCCCGCGCGCGGCAGGGAGACGCAGCGACCCGGUGGGCCAACUGCCGCGGGGCCAGCGCGGCGCGCGGCGCGGCGGAGAGGAGCGGCGGCCUCGCGCGCGCGCAGGUAGGCGUGGUGCGGCGGACCCGCGGGCGCGCGUGCAGGGAGGCGUGGCGGCCCCGCGGCCAGCGCGCAGGGAGGCGCGGCGCAGCGGCCAUGCGGCCAGCGCGCGCGGAGAGGAGCGGUGGCUCCGUCGGCUCCUCUCUGUUUUAUGCAGUUAAAAUAAUAUCAAAUAUAUCACUGCAGUGGAAGGAGCAGUGACCUCCGUGGGCUAGAGACCAUCCCCUCUCACAUCCGUUGACUAAGCCCGUCUCUACUCAAUGCCUAGACAUCGCAGCUCGCCGCCGCCACCAAGAGAGGGCGAGGGAGGCGCAUCAGCACGUGAGGAGCUGAUGAAGAUGAUGCCGACGGCUGGUUCUCCCAUCUUCACUGCGUGCAGGAUGGGGGAGCACACGAUGAGGUCGAGGGUGGGAAGUCCGCCAUCAGAAUCCACCGCCGACGCCAUCGUACCUCCAGCUAGCGCCGCACGUCCAGAUCCGGCACAGACUGCCGCCGAGAGGCGCGGACCACCAUCGUCCCACGGCCGCACGCCGCCUCCCGCCCCUCAAACUGCCUCCGUACCGCCGCCGCACGCCGCCUACCGCCAGAUCCGACGCGGACUGCCGCCGUCCCACCGCCGCACCUCCAGAUCCGGCGCGGGCCGCCUCCCUCCCACCACCGGCCGCCACCGGGUCGCUGCCUCCCCUCCCGCCAGAUUUGGUGGAGGGGAGGGCCCUGCCAUGUUGCAGCUGUGGUGGAUGAAUGGAGGAGGAGGAGAAGGAAAUGUGGAGAGGAUGAGAGAAGGAAGGAGAGAAGGAAGAAGAAGAGAGAGGGGAGGGGCGGUGGAGACAGGAUGGAGAGGGAGAGAGAGAAGUGGAUAAGGAUGGGGCGAGAGAGGAGUGGCUCGUCUUAGGAUGGGUGUCGGUUUUAACUGAAAAGUGGCAUCUAUUUCUUUUGCCUACAAAGAUGCUGGUUAUAGGGUAGGUCCCGUAGUUGGGAUAGGGACUAAAAUGCCGGUUUUAGUUUAGAACCGACAUCUAUAUCUAACAGGGGUAAUAGGUAUCGGUUUUGUUUAAAAACCGGCACCUUUUAAGUGAUAAAGGUGACGGUUCUUGUGGUUUGGACGGGCUGAGGGGCAAGGGGCCCCGCGGGCCAGGGGGAGGCACUGUAGGUGGUGAUUUUACCACUUCCACGACCUAUAGAGCUGACUUAUAUUAACUAUUCUGCAGUAGUUAACAAGUAUUAUUAACUUUAGAGGAGUAGGGUAUAUAAAUGUUAUGUCUGAGUAUUUAAGCACGCGGCAGGAAUCCAUGCCGUCGCCGUGGGCCGUGCUUCUCCUGGACCUGAAAUGGCCAGCUGGUGCGGGAUUCUAUUCUCAGAUGAACGUCGUGGAGCUGUGAUGGUGGUGGGACGUUACGCGGUCGGGAUCGGAUCGAUCGGCGCUCAGCCCCACCGGACGACGGCGACGGCGCGCGGCCUCCGAGUCUUGGACGCACGCAGGGGGACGGCGACCCGUUUGUCCGCGCCCGCGUGCAUGUACUUGCAGUGAUUUUUCCUCGUUUCUUUCCUUCGAUUACCGUGAAAGUUUCGUACUUCCUCUAUUUCAUAAUAUAAGUCAUUUUAACAAUUUUGACAUAUAUACUGAUGUUAAUAAAUCUAGACAAUGUAAGUCCAUCUAACAUUUUUCAUAUUUAUAUUGAUGUUAAUAAAUCUGGACUGUAUAUUGAUGUUAAUAAAUCUAGACAGUCUAGAUUCAUUAACAUCAAUAUAAAUGUGAAAAAUGCUAGAAUGACUUACAUUAUGAAACGGAGAGAGUACAAUACUUACUAUGUUCUAAUAUAAAUAACGUCUUUGAUUUUUUAAA
Long non-coding RNA from Oryza sativa Japonica Group (Japanese rice), 2526 nucleotides. RefSeq lists it as uncharacterized. The record is from RefSeq and is a predicted model, not a curated record. NCBI's taxonomy places the organism in Eukaryota, Viridiplantae, Streptophyta, Magnoliopsida, Poales, Poaceae.